GACAGAGGAUGCAAGCGUUAUCCGGAAUGAUUGGGCGUAAAGCGUCUGUAGGUGGCUUUUUAAGUCCGCCGUCAAAUCCCAGGGCUCAACCCUGGACAGGCGGUGGAAACUACCAAGCUGGAGUACGGUAGGGGCAGAGGGAAUUCCCGGUGUAGCGGUGAAAUGCGCAGAUAUCGGGAGGAACACCGGUGGCGAAGGCGGUUCUCUGGGCCUGUACUGACGCUGAGGAGCGAAAGCGUGGGGAGCGAACAGG
This 253-nucleotide ribosomal RNA is filed under the name uncultured bacterium. RNAcentral's name for it is "partial 16S ribosomal RNA". It matches the Rfam family "Bacterial small subunit ribosomal RNA", at positions 524 to 776 of the family's 1533-position model. The record is from RNAcentral.